UACGGAAGGUCCAAGCGUUAAUCGGAAUUACUGGGCGUAAAGCGCGCGUAGGUGGUUUAUUAAGUUGGAUGUGAAAUCCCCGGGCUCAACCUGGGAACUGCAUCCAAAACUGAUUCACUAGAGUACGAUAGAGGGAGGUAGAAUUCACAGUGUAGCAGUGAAAUGCGUAGAGAUGUGGAGGAAUACCAAUGGCGAAGGCAGCCCCCUGGAUCUGUACUGACACUGAGGUGCGAAAGCGUGGGUAGCGAACAGG
RNAcentral lists this ribosomal RNA (253 nucleotides) under uncultured bacterium. RNAcentral describes it as "partial 16S ribosomal RNA". It matches the Rfam family "Bacterial small subunit ribosomal RNA", at positions 524 to 776 of the family's 1533-position model. The record is from RNAcentral.